This 253-nucleotide ribosomal RNA is filed under the name uncultured bacterium. RNAcentral's name for it is "partial 16S ribosomal RNA". It matches the Rfam family "Bacterial small subunit ribosomal RNA", at positions 524 to 776 of the family's 1533-position model. The record is from RNAcentral.
UACGAAGGUGGCGAAUGUUGCUCGGAUUCACUGGGCGUAAAGCGUCGGUAGGAGGCUUGUUAAGUCAGGUGUGAAAGCCCCGCGCUCAACGUGGGAAUUGCACUUGAAACUAACUGGCUUGAAGGUAAGAGAGGAUGGCGGAAUAUCCGGUGUAGAGGUAAAAUUCAUAGAUAUCGGAUGGAACACCCAUGGCGAAGGCAGCUAUCUGGCUUACUCUUGACUCUGAGCGACGACAGCGUGGGGAGCAAACAGG